UACGUAGGGUGCGAGCGUUGUCCGGAAUUAUUGGGCGUAAAGGGCUCGUAGGCGGUUUGUCGCGUCGGGAGUGAAAACAUCCAGCUUAACUGGGUGCUUGCUUUCGAUACGGGCAGACUAGAGGUAUGCAGGGGAGAACGGAAUUCCUGGUGUAGCGGUGAAAUGCGCAGAUAUCAGGAAGAACACCUAUGGCGAAGGCAGCUCUCUGGGACGGUACUGACGCUGAGACGCGAAAGCGUGGGGAGCGAACAGG
Molecule: ribosomal RNA, 253 nt
Filed under: uncultured bacterium
Lineage: Bacteria
Description: partial 16S ribosomal RNA
Rfam family: Bacterial small subunit ribosomal RNA
Source: RNAcentral